RNAcentral lists this unclassified non-coding RNA (228 nucleotides) under Hevea brasiliensis (rubber tree). Lineage: Eukaryota; Viridiplantae; Streptophyta; Magnoliopsida; Malpighiales; Euphorbiaceae. The record is from RNAcentral.
CCUCGCUUAAACUCUUUCCACCAAUGCAUGCAUGGGCAUGCACAUUAAUAUAAUCACCUAUUGCCAAGAUGACUUUCUCUGUCUGGCUAGCAAGUUCUCUGGUAGGUGACAGAAUCAGGGCCUGCACUUCCCGUGAAUGUGUGUCGACGAUCUGGCAGACGGAGAGGGCGAUCAUGGAGGUCUUGCCCGUCCCCGAUUGCGCCUGGGCGAUGACGUCACGGCCCUGGG